This 447-nucleotide ribosomal RNA is filed under the name uncultured bacterium. RNAcentral describes it as "partial 16S ribosomal RNA". It matches the Rfam family "Bacterial small subunit ribosomal RNA", at positions 29 to 523 of the family's 1533-position model. The record is from RNAcentral.
AACGAACGCUGGCGGCAGGCUUAACACAUGCAAGUCGAACGCCCCGCAAGGGGAGUGGCAGACGGGUGAGUAACGCGUGGGAAUCUACCUAGUUCUACGGAACAACUGAGGGAAACUUCAGCUAAUACCGUAUACGCCCUACGGGGGAACGAUUUAUCGGAAUUAGAUGAGCCCGCGUUGGAUUAGCUAGUUGGUGAGGUAAUGGCUCACCAAGGCGACGAUCCAUAGCUGGUCUGGGAGGAUGAUCAGCCACACUGGGACUGAGACACGGCCCAGACUCCUACGGGAGGCAGCAGUGGGGAAUAUUGGACAAUGGGCGCAAGCCCGAUCCAGCCAUGCCGCGUGAGUGAUGAAGGCCUUAGGGUUGUAAAGCUCUUUCAGUAGGGAAGAUAAUGACGGUACCUACAGAAGAAGCCCCGGCUAACUUCGCGCCAGCCGCCGCGGUAA